GCGGACUCCUCACAGCCAGCGUGUGGCAGGAAUUAUUAUUAUCCCAACAUUCUCCAGAGGAGGAAACCCAGGCUCAGAGUGGUUUUUAGCCUCCAGGACGAUGACGGCUGCUGCUGCACUGGCCUCGUCCCUGGAUCCCUCGCCGCAGAUCUGUCCUACACAGGGUUCCAGAGGAGUCAUCCUAACACCAUCUGACCCUGUCCCUCUCAUGCUCAAAACAUAUUUGUAGCCUUCAUCACCUUCAUGACAUGGAUACUGCUGAGUUCUCCAGACACUUCACUCCAGAGUGCAGCUAUUGUGAGAAAUGACUCUUUGUUCCCCAAAUAAGCCUCAGAAUCUGGAUAUGGGGCCUGAAUCUGGAUAUGGGGCCUCAACACAUGCUCCAACUUGGACUAGAAUGUCCUUCUCUCUGGUCUCAGUUAACUCUGUCCCUCAGGUCUCAGUGCAGAAGUCACCUCCACCACGAAGCCUCCUCUGUCUGACCCUCUGUUUUAAACUUUUUCCUACUGUAAAUAUGUCCCAUUUUCUGAAAAAAAUCAGCAUAUUUUAAAGUAUUCUGGCACAAAGCUGGUUUUCAGCUUUCAGAGCCAUUUAUUUAUUUAUCUAUUUAUUGGAGACAGAGUCUCGCUCUGUCACCCAGGCUGGAGUGCAGUGGCGCGAUCACAGCUCACUGCAGCCUCCACCUCCCGGUUUCAGUGCCUCAGCCUCUCGAGUAGCUGGGAUUAUACCACACCACCAUGGCUGGCUUUUGUAUUUUUAGUAGAGACAGGGUUUCAUCAUGUUGCCCAGGCUAGUCUUGAAUUCAUGACCUCAGGCAAUCUGUCCACCUCAGCCUCCCAAGUGCUAGGAUUACAGGCGUGAGCCACCGCACCCGGCCCAGAGCCAAAUAUUUAUAUGUUUCUGUAGGUUUCUAUACAGUGGGAUGCCUUUUCUGUGCUCCUAUGAGACCCUGUAGUAUGGCACAUAUUACCCUGUGUGGUGAGUGUCUGUGUCAGUGCCUGACUCUCCCACCAGACUGGGAAGUUCUUGGGAAUAGCAACUAGUUCUGUUCCAUCUCUGGGUCCCCAGAGUCCAGUUGAGGGCUAGACACACAGGGAGGAUGAGCCAGUAAGGUGGGUUCCUAUAGGACAGAAGGGAGCAGGGACUGGGACCAGCUGGGCCAUUGAGAGGAGCAGGGUGCGGGAAGGGGCCAGGUGGAGGGGCUGGGCUGGGCCACACCUUGUCUAUGUAACUCUGGCCCAGCCCCUUCACUUCCUGAAGGUGGACCUGGGCUUGGGCCUGGCUCUUCUUGCCUGUCCGCCUCCGACAGCUCUUCCGGUAGAGACAGAAACAGCAGCUGAAGAUGAGGAGGCCUGAGACCAGCACGAUGGUGGCCAGGGCCCAGGGGGGCACUGCAGAGGGGUGGAGACAACACACAUUGAGGCCUGGGCAGCACGCAGGCUGAUUCAGUCCUGAUUACACGUGGAAGCUGGAAUGCUGGCCUCCUUUUCCCUCCAGCCAUUUUCAUUGCAUUUCUUCCUGUGUUUUUCUUCCACCUAAUGUGGCCUAUAGAGAGAUUCGAUGCCCCAACCCAGGCUGACACCAUCUGGAUUUGCUUGCUUGUUAGUUCUGCCUUUCCUUACCCGACCCCGCCCCCC
This 1637-nucleotide long non-coding RNA is filed under the name Homo sapiens (human). RNAcentral's name for it is "HSALNT0398755". Lineage: Eukaryota; Metazoa; Chordata; Mammalia; Primates; Hominidae. The record is from RNAcentral.